CCAAUUGCUAGUUUUAUACAAGUGACUGAGUUUACGAUUAAAGAUGCCUACACACUCAGGUUUUUUGAAAACAACUCAAGUCGCUUACCGAAGUGGUGCAAUGAUGGAGACAAUGUGAAGCUCCCCUUUUGUCAGAUUCGUGGCAAGUAUCGAAUGGAGCUACCAGGAUACAACACUAUGGAUCCUUAUCCCCAUAUGAAUGAAAGAUGUCCAUCACUUCCCCCAAAAUACUCUAGGCCACAAAAUUGCUAAACAACUUUAAUUUCUCUAAGUUAUUACACAACGGAUGACGUCAUUGGAGGUUCAUGCAAUGCACUGUCUCUUGAUACAACAUCUGGAAGCUGCCCAAAGGAGAGUUUAGCAUGUCGG
RNAcentral lists this unclassified non-coding RNA (369 nucleotides) under Hevea brasiliensis (rubber tree). The record is from RNAcentral. Lineage: Eukaryota; Viridiplantae; Streptophyta; Magnoliopsida; Malpighiales; Euphorbiaceae.